This 269-nucleotide long non-coding RNA is filed under the name Musa acuminata (dwarf banana). Its description in RNAcentral is "long non-coding RNA (MACU_LNC005000)". Lineage: Eukaryota; Viridiplantae; Streptophyta; Magnoliopsida; Zingiberales; Musaceae. The record is from RNAcentral.
UACACUCCAAGAGCAAUUCCUCUGCCCUUCCACGAUCAAAGCCAAGCUAAAAGGUAACUCAGGAAAUCAACCAAAAAAAGGUUGUGUAAAUGAGAGAGGAAGAAGAAGAAGAAGAAGAAGAAGGUCUUGUUAGUUAUGAAUUUUAUUUCCUUUCUUUUGGGGAAGACCCAAUUGGGCACCUCCCAAGCAAUAGUAAUCAUCAUUACUUGUUGGUAUUCUUUCACGUGGUUGGUGGCUUAAGUUGAGAGAGAUUGGCUACCAUAUUUCUG